RNAcentral lists this ribosomal RNA (443 nucleotides) under uncultured bacterium. RNAcentral describes it as "partial 16S ribosomal RNA". It matches the Rfam family "Bacterial small subunit ribosomal RNA", at positions 338 to 795 of the family's 1533-position model. The record is from RNAcentral.
CCUACGGGUGGCUGCAGUGGGGAAUAUUGGGCAAUGGAGGCAACUCUGACCCAGCAACGCCGCGUGAAUGAUGAAGGUCUUCGGAUUGUAAAGUUCUGUGAUGGGGGAUGAACACAAUGACGGUACCCCAACAGCACGCCACGGCUAACUACGUGCCAGUAGCCGCGGUAAUACGGAGGUGGCAAGCGUUAUCCGGAAUGACUGGGCGUAAAGGGUGCGUAGGUGGUUUAGUAAGUUGGCGGUGUAAUUCCGGGGCUCAACCUCGGCGCUACCGCCAAAACUAUUAGACUAGAGUGCAGGGGGGGUAAGUGGAAUUCCUAGUGUAGCGGUGGAAUGCGUAGAUAUUAGGAGGAACAUCAGGGGCGAAGGCGACUUACUGGACUGUAACUGACACUGAGGCACGAAAGCGUGGGGAGCAAACAGGAUUAGAUACCCGGGUAGUC